CUUUAAUGUCCACAUCACAUCCGCAUGGACAUAUAGUAAAUGUAAGGAGUGUGUUUUUCGCUACAAAAUCUAGAUUGGGCUAACACAAAUGAGGGGAGCAAACGUAGAGUCCUACAUGGUAAUGCCUCGCACUAUCAUUAUUAUCGAUUAGGCAGAAACAGGAUACAGCAAUGGAGUUUAAAAACAUGUGUGAGGACAUCAGCUACCAUUAUUCAUGCGAGUCAGUCAACAUUAUACCAUAACUUCCCCAUUCACAUACAGGAAAAUCAGGUUGG
Molecule: non-coding RNA, 275 nt
Organism: Pelobates cultripes (western spadefoot toad)
Lineage: Eukaryota; Metazoa; Chordata; Amphibia; Anura; Pelobatidae
Source: the annotation of a GenBank genome assembly